This 32-nucleotide non-coding RNA is filed under the name Rattus norvegicus (Norway rat). Lineage: Eukaryota; Metazoa; Chordata; Mammalia; Rodentia; Muridae. The record is from RNAcentral.
UGGGACACACUGCCUUAUACGUCUUUAAAUGC